GAUGAACGCUGGCGGCGUGCCUAAUACAUGCAAGUCGAGCGAACGGACGAGAAGCUUGCUUCUCUGAUGUUAGCGGCGGACGGGUGAGUAACACGUGGAUAACCUACCUAUAAGACUGGGAUAACUUCGGGAAACCGUAGCUAAUACCGGAUAAUAUUUUGAACCGCAUGGUUCAAAAGUGAAAGACGGUCUUGCUGUCACUUAUAGAUGGAUCCGCGCUGCAUUAGCUAGUUGGUAAGGUAACGGCUUACCAAGGCAACGAUGCAUAGCCGACCUGAGAGGGGGAUGGGCCACACUGGAACUGAGACACGGUCCAGACUCCGACGGGAGGCAGCAGUAGGGAAUCUUCCGCAAUGGGCGAAAGCCUGACGGAGCAACGCCGCGUGAGUGAUGAAGGUCUUCGGAUCGUAAAACUCUGUUAUUAGGGAAGAACAUAUGUGUAAGUAACUGUGCACAUCUUGACGGUACCUAAUCAGAAAGCCACGGCUAACUACGUG
RNAcentral lists this ribosomal RNA (497 nucleotides) under uncultured bacterium. Its description in RNAcentral is "partial 16S ribosomal RNA". It matches the Rfam family "Bacterial small subunit ribosomal RNA", at positions 28 to 507 of the family's 1533-position model. The record is from RNAcentral.